AUGAACGCUGGCGGCGUGCCUAAUACAUGCAAGUCGAGCGAACAGACGAGGAGCUUGCUCCUCUGCCGUUAGCGGCGGCCGGGUGAGUAACACGUGGAUAACCUACCUAUACGACUGGGAUAACUUCGGGAAACCGGAGCUAAUACCGGAUAAUAUAUUGAACCGCAUGGUUCAAUAGUGAAAGACGGUUUUGCUGUCACUUAUAGAUGGCUCCGCGCCGCAUUAGCUAGUUGGUAAGGUAACGGCUUACCAAGGCAACGAGGGGUAGCCGACCUGAGAGGGGGAUAGGCCACACUGGAACUGAGACACGGUCCAGGCUCCUACGGGAGGCAGCAGUAGGGAAUCGUCCGCAAUGGGCGAAAGCCUGACGGAGCAACGGCGCGUGAGUGAUGAAGGUCUUCGGAUCGUAAAACUCUGUUAUGAGGGAAGAACAAAUGUGUAAGUAACUAUGCACGUCUUGACGGUACCGAAUCAGAAAGCCACGGCUAACUACGUG
RNAcentral lists this ribosomal RNA (496 nucleotides) under uncultured bacterium. RNAcentral's name for it is "partial 16S ribosomal RNA". It matches the Rfam family "Bacterial small subunit ribosomal RNA", at positions 29 to 507 of the family's 1533-position model. The record is from RNAcentral.